RNAcentral lists this small RNA (28 nucleotides) under Bombyx mori (domestic silkworm). RNAcentral describes it as "piRNA piR-bmo-1843817". Lineage: Eukaryota; Metazoa; Arthropoda; Insecta; Lepidoptera; Bombycidae. The record is from RNAcentral.
GACGUCUCUACCCUAUGCUUUGCAAGCG